UUACCUGGAUAAUCUAUUGCCAUCUAUUAAUUUAUACGCUCAAUAAUGUUUUAGAGCUGUCAUCAGUGUGUUCUUGAAAUGUUAAUCGAAUAUUUCUUGUGAUCAUUUUUGUUACUUUUAACUUUUAAAGUGAGAUGUUAUAAGGCAGUAGUCUUCAGCCCCAUGCCUGUCUUCCUGCAGGGUGGCUGGCCCACUCUGUGGAGGCCGUGACUUGGACCAAGGUGGUGGCUAUGUUUUGUUACAGAAUGCUACCUUUAGCCUGGUGAAUGCAGCAUGAGUUCAAAGUAAACCUCCAAAUAUUUCAAGUCCCUGAUUUCUGCCUGUUAUGGGGGAUGGGUACCUGAAGAAGCUGCUUGGAACAUCUGCUGCUUGGGAUUGAAGGCAUUCUCAGUGGUGUGGUGAUGCCAUUGAUGGAAAAUCAUGCAGUGCAUUGGACCUGAUGACCACCAACCUAGAAUAAUUAACCCUCCAAUGUUGCUGUGGCUAGUGUUUUGCCUUUAAGAUGAUGCCGUUAUAUGAAUAAACAUCUUCAAGACUGA
Molecule: long non-coding RNA, 539 nt
Organism: Stegostoma tigrinum
Lineage: Eukaryota; Metazoa; Chordata; Chondrichthyes; Orectolobiformes; Stegostomatidae
Exons: 5
Source: RefSeq, a predicted model, not a curated record